GUAGGUGAACCUGCGGAAGGAUCAUUAUUGAAAUAAACCUGAUAGGUUGUUGCUGGCUUCCUAGCAUGUGCACACCUUGUCAUCUUUAUAUCUCCACCUGUGCAUCUUUUGUAGACCUUUCAGGUCUAUGUUGCUUCAUUUACCCCAAUGUAUGUUAAUAGAAUGUUGUGACUAUAUAAAAUCUAUACAACUUUCAGCAACGGAUCUCUUGGCUCUC
This 217-nucleotide unclassified non-coding RNA is filed under the name rhizosphere metagenome. Its description in RNAcentral is "partial ribosomal RNA internal transcribed spacer region". The record is from RNAcentral.